GUGGCCUAACCCCUUGUGGGAGGGAGCCGUCGAAGGUGGGAUCGGCGAUUGGGACGAAGUCGUAACAAGGUAGCCGUACCGGAAGGUGCGGCUGGAUCACCUCCUUU
Molecule: ribosomal RNA, 107 nt
Filed under: Nocardia farcinica
Lineage: Bacteria; Bacillati; Actinomycetota; Actinomycetes; Mycobacteriales; Nocardiaceae
Also listed under: 1 other name
Description: partial 16S ribosomal RNA
Rfam family: Bacterial small subunit ribosomal RNA
Source: RNAcentral